RNAcentral lists this long non-coding RNA (537 nucleotides) under Homo sapiens (human). Its description in RNAcentral is "HSALNT0291586". Lineage: Eukaryota; Metazoa; Chordata; Mammalia; Primates; Hominidae. The record is from RNAcentral.
GCUUGCUAUUACUAAUAAAACAGCAGCAACCACAGGACAGCUUCACUUCCGGAAACUCCCUCUGUCACGUGCUUUGCAUGAAUCCUCACACCGUCUCACUAGGGGCGCUCUCCCCGUUUCACCAGUGACUUGGUGACAACCAGCCUUGCUCACGAAGCGUCAGCCGUAUCCUUUCUGUGUGCAGUGGGGUGUGGGUUGUGUGGAGCCGCGGUGUCUGUGGAAUUCACAGGCUGGGGCCGGAAUCCAUGGCCCCCGUCGCCGCUGCCACCCCCCAGGCAUUUGUUUUAUUGCUCUUUUUUCACCAACUCAAACUGAAUGGUCACCUUAACAGUUUUAUUGAGAUCCAUUAUUUAUUCUUCUCCAUCUUGUUCUGUGUUCCUGGAAGCCAACCUUUAUAAGCUGCAGGAAAUGGAUUUCCUACUCUCCACCUUCUGAUUGGGCUUGACCAACGGGGAGCACUGGCAGAAGACAAGCAUGGGAGGAAAAAGAGAUCAGGGCUGGAGUGCAGUGGCGUGAUCUCGGCUAGCUACAACCUCC